GAAAGGUUCAUUGGAGUCCAUCAAACUAAAAGCAAGUAAAUUCCCUGAUGGAUGGGAGGACCAGUUAUGAUCGACAUUUGCCCUCUUUUCUUCGAUUCAUCAGCUUUUGCAGAUACGUUUCCAACAACCCUCCAGCGUCCAUUUCUUCUCACUGUGUGUGUCUCUCUCUGUGCUUCUUGGUAACUUCAAAUCAGUACAAUGUCCGAACCGUUUAGCUCCAUGGGCUGCAACCUCACAUUACUAAUUCUCUCCCACGUCCCUAUCCCCUCCCUCCUCCGCGCCUUCGCCUUUGGCAAGCUCUGGCAUUCCCUCAUCUCCACCCUACUUUCCAUUCCCUCCCCCACCACCAACUGCCUUGGUUCUUCCUCCACGGUCUCCACAACACCUCCUCCAAGAACAACCAGUACUUCGCUUUUGACCCUUCCUCCAACUCCUGGUUUCGUCUCCCUUCUUUUCCCUUCCCUUCCCAUGACUUCGUUGGCUCCAAUGGAUUCCUCUUUUCUACUGCUCCUUCUUUCUCCUUUUCCACUGUCCUCAAACCCGGCCGGAAAUCCACCUCUCCGCUUCGCUUUUCCAGGAUCAAUCCGCUUAUUGGCGUUUUAUUUGACCCAAAAACUUCUCAAUCUCACAUUUCUAUGCUUCAAUUUAUAGUUGUUGGUGGUGUUCGAUUCAUUGGUAAUUUGGUUGAUAUCGAGGACAGAUUGGCCGUUGAAAUUUAUGACCCUUGUUGCGAUUCUUGGGAUCUCUGCUCCCCUUUACCCGCCAAUUUUCGCCCUGGUAAUUCAUCUCAGACUUUAUCGUCUGCCAUGUUCAAAGGUAGAUUCUUUGUGUUUGAGAUAUGCACUUUCUUUGUUUCUUUUUUCGAUUUGGAUAAGCAUGUUUGGAGCCAAGUACAGACAUUGAGGCCACCUGGUGUGCUUUUUGCAUUCCUGAUUGCAUGUCAAGAAAUGCUUGUUUUGGCUGGUGUGUGUAAUGGGCCACGAGAAGGCCAUCUUUCAAUUUGUGGAGGAUUGAUGAGAAAAGCAUGGAGUUCAGUGAAAUUGCUAUUAUGCCUCAGGAUUUGCUCUACGGGUUGGUUGAUAGCAAGGAGGAAGAUAAGUUUGCCAGCUUGAAAUGCGUUGGGAUGGGGAAUCUUAUUUAUGUGUAUAAUGAAGAGUAUCACAAGAUGUACCCUGCUUGCAUUUGUGAGAUCACUAACGAGUCUGGCAAGUGUAGCUGGAGGAGAGUGCCCCAAUUGCCAUCACCUGUUAAUAAGUUUCACAAGGUUAUCAGCUUUUGUUCCACAGUUUUACCACAUAAUAUUUUCCUGGGUGAAGGGGAAGAAAUUGGACUGGUGGAGCCUAUGUCUGACUGAUCAGCUUGUCUACUUGGUAAACCUAUAUUUUCUUAUGCUUAUUUCAUUGUGUUAGUCCAUCUAGUAUGUCCUUUAUUGCUACCCUUUAUUGUUUUAGGCAAAGUGUAUUGUUAUAAUCCUUGAAUUACUGCUUCUAUUGAAUGGCUUGUGGCAAUUAAAUCUGAUUUAGAGGUACCCUUUCUAAGAAUGCACACACAAUCUGCUUAGGUACAUGUUAAACCAUGUUCUUGAUGCAUCUUGAUCAAGGAUGAAUUUAGCUUCAUCUGUUAUCUCAUUUAUGCAAUAUCAAUACAGGAAUAUUGAAAUAUAGUGUAAUUAACUAAAGUCAGAAGUUUUGCUUUUGGAGAUAUGCAGGGUUGGGUUACAAAUUAUUAGCAGGAAAAUGCUUUCUUAGACUAGAUUUUGCAGUAGCUUCCUUCUUUUCCAUUAGUUUUUGGUGGAAAGACUUGACUGCUGACGAUCCUAGUUAAUGCAAACUAUUGAUCUUUGGUUUUGAUUUUAAUUUGUUGUGUCAUACAGCUUUCUUGGCUUUGUCUAUCAAUUCCACGGGUUUAAUAAUCUGCUGGCCUGCUGCCUGCUGAAGCAUUUCCGAAAAUUGUUCCAUCUUUUCAUAGCUUGAUAAUAUGGUGCUAUGUAACUAAGUUUUGCACAGGGAACUUCUUGUCUUUACCGUUCUACUGUAGAUCAAGUCACAAAUAUCUAGAUUAGUAUGUUUAAUAAGUUUACUGUAUAUUUUAUAUUUUCAAUUCAUAAUAGAUACGCAUGAAAAAUCUAUUUUGUUAUCAAAAUCUGCCUUUCUUCUUUGGGGGGAUUUUGAUUUAUCUCAUAAAAGCGCUUGUAGACUUUAGUUUUUGUUAGGUAUUAUGGUUCAAUAUGUUUUCUUUUAGGUAUUAUUUAAAUAUUUGAAAAACUAAUUUUAAAAAACUGCUUAAAUAUUUUCAAAUUUUUGUGAUUAAAAUAAAUUUAAUUUAAUUUAAAAUUAUUUUUUCAUUAAUAUAUUUAAAAUAAUAUUU
Molecule: unclassified non-coding RNA, 2367 nt
Filed under: Hevea brasiliensis (rubber tree)
Lineage: Eukaryota; Viridiplantae; Streptophyta; Magnoliopsida; Malpighiales; Euphorbiaceae
Source: RNAcentral